UACGAGGGGGGCAAGCGUUGUUCGGAAUUAUUGGGCGUAAAGGGCGCGUAGGCGGUUUGACAAGUCUGAUGUGAAAUCUAUGGGCUCAACCCAUAGCCUGCAUUAGAAACUGUCGGGCUUGAGUAUGGGAGAGGUGAGUGGAAUUUCCGGUGUAGCGGUGAAAUGCGUAGAUAUCAGGAGGAAUACCGAUGGCGAAGGCAGGUCUCUGGGCUGACACUGACGCUCAUGCACGAAAGCGUGGGGAGCAAACAGG
This 253-nucleotide ribosomal RNA is filed under the name uncultured bacterium. Its description in RNAcentral is "partial 16S ribosomal RNA". It matches the Rfam family "Bacterial small subunit ribosomal RNA", at positions 524 to 776 of the family's 1533-position model. The record is from RNAcentral.